CUGAACCAGCCAAGUAGCGUGAAGGAUGACUGCCCUAUGGGUUGUAAACUUCUUUUAUACGGGAAUAAAGUGAGCCACGUGUGGCUUUUUGUAUGUACCAUACGAAUAAGGAUCGGCUAACUCCGUGCCAGCAGCCGCGGUAAUACGGAGGAUCCGAGCGUUAUCCGGAUUUAUUGGGUUUAAAGGGAGCGUAGGCGGACUAUUAAGUCAGUUGUGAAAGUUUGCGG
RNAcentral lists this ribosomal RNA (227 nucleotides) under uncultured bacterium. Its description in RNAcentral is "partial 16S ribosomal RNA". It matches the Rfam family "Bacterial small subunit ribosomal RNA", at positions 383 to 607 of the family's 1533-position model. The record is from RNAcentral.